This 353-nucleotide ribosomal RNA is filed under the name uncultured bacterium. RNAcentral describes it as "bacterial SSU rRNA". It matches the Rfam family "Bacterial small subunit ribosomal RNA", at positions 159 to 507 of the family's 1533-position model. The record is from RNAcentral.
CAAGCUAAUACCGCAUGCNCCCGUACGGGGAAGGCGGGGACCUUCGGGCCUCGCACUAUUGGAUGAGCCUAUGUCAGAUUAGCUUGUUGGUGGGGUAACGGCCUACCAAGGCGACGAUCUGUAGCUGGUCUGAGAGGACGAUCAGCCACACUGGGACUGAGACACGGCCCAGACUCCUACGGGAGGCAGCAGUGGGGAAUAUUGCACAAUGGGCGAAAGCCUGAUGCAGCAAUGCCGCGUGUGUGAAGAAGGCCUGCGGGUUGUAAAGCACUUUCAGUAGGGAGGAAACAGUAGCCGGUUAAUAUCCGGUUGCCUUGACGUUACCUACAGAAGAAGCACCGGCUAACUCUGUG